Molecule: ribosomal RNA, 465 nt
Filed under: uncultured bacterium
Lineage: Bacteria
Description: partial 16S ribosomal RNA
Rfam family: Bacterial small subunit ribosomal RNA
Source: RNAcentral
CCUACGAGAGGCUGCAGUGGGGAAUAUUGCGCAAUGUGCGAAAGCCUGACGCAGCGACGCCGCGUGAGGGAUGAAGGUCUUCGGAUCGUAAACCUCUGUCAGCAGGGAAGAACGGUCACUGUGCUAAUCAGCAGUGAAUUGACGGUACCUGCAAAGGAAGCACCGGCUAACUCCGUGCCAGCAGCCGCGGUAAUACGGAGGGUGCGAGCGUUAAUCGGAAUUACUGGGCGUAAAGCGCUCGUAGGCGGCAGGUCAAGUCAAGGGUGAAAUACCCGCGCUUAACGUGGGAACUGCCUUUGAAACUGGCAAACUGGAGUGUGGGAGAGGAUAGUGGAAUUCGAGGUGUAGGAGUGAAAUCCGUAGAUAUCUGGAGGAACAUCAGUGGCGAAGGCGACUAUCUGGCACAUAACUGACGCUGAGGAGCGAAAGCGUGGGUAGCAAACAGGAUUAGAUACCCGGGUAGUC